Molecule: non-coding RNA, 75 nt
Filed under: Gracilimonas tropica
Lineage: Bacteria; Pseudomonadati; Balneolota; Balneolia; Balneolales; Balneolaceae
Also listed under: 1 other name
Source: RNAcentral
GAUUAGUGUAAUUCCCGGCAAUAAGGACAGGGAAGCUUCCACCGGCCAACCGUAAAUUGGCUGUCACCACUUCUC